GUCUCGCUCUGUCACCCAGGUUGGAGUGCAGUUGCGUGAUCUCGGCUCACUGCGGUCUCCAUCUCCCAGGUUCAAGCAAUUCUCUUGCCUCAACCUCCCGAGUAGCUGGGAUUACAGGUGCCCACCACCACGCCCGGCUAAUUUUUAUAUUUUUAGUACAGACAGGGUUUCACCAAGAUGUCCAGGCUGGUCUUAAACUCCUGACCUGAGGUGAUCUGCCUGCCUCGGCCUCCUAAAGUGCUGGGAUUACAGGUGUGAGCCACUGCACCCGGCCACCACUUCUAUUUAUCAUUGUCCUGUAGAAAAAUAAGCAAAUGACAAACCAGGUAUUUUCAGAGGAUAUGACUGAACACAUGAAAAGAAGUUUUACCUUGUAAGUGAUUGGCUAAUUAAAACCAUAAUUAAUAACAUUUUACAUUCAAUAGAUUGAAAAAUUAAGGAAUACAACAAUACCAAUAAAGAUGAUGUGCCUCAGUCUUUCACACUGCAGAUAGGAUUUUGAACUGAUAGACUCUGAGCUCAGAAAGCAAUUUGGCACUAUCUCUUAGAGUUAAGAAUUCACGUACACUAACCAUUCUACCUCUACAUAAAUGCCUUAGAGAAAUUCUUGGAUAUGUGUACCUCAAGAGUACACAUGUGAGAAUGCUUGUGGCAGCCCUGUUUUUAAUUACUCAAAUGUCCGUUGACAACAAAAAACAAAUUACGGGUUUUGUAAUUUUAUUCAGCAGGGAGAAUGACCUACAUACAACAACCCAGAGUAAUCUUAAAAAUGAUAAAGCAAGUCUCAGAAGUCUACAUACAGUAUGCUACAGUUUUUAUAAAGCUAUAAAAGAAACCUAAACUGUAUUAUGUAGGAAUAUGUAUAUUUGUGAUAAAACUUUUUCUUUUAAAGGAGUCAUAAAACUCAGGAUAGUGGCAAGGUGUAACACAUGAAUACAUAAAACAAUAUUAGUGAUACUUUCGUUCUUGAGUAAUGGGUUUCUUGAUCUUCAUUUCAUUUACUUAAUGGCACUAACAUAAAUUUUGGGUGGGGUUGUCUGUUACUAACAAACUACCCUCAAACUUAAUUAGCUUAAAAUAACAACCAUUUCACUUGCCUCAAUGCUGUGAGUUGAUAGGAAUCAGCUGGGUGGUUUUGCGCCACAUGAUGGUGACUUUAGCUGCAGUUAUCUAGGGGCUGGAUUGGGCUUGAAACAUCUGAGAUACUCAUGCACAUGAUUGGCAGUUAAUGGUGGCUAUCAGCUGGGAAUUCAGCUGCCACAUCUCAGUUUAUGUGGCUUCUCCAUGGGACUUGGAGUUCUUCCAGUCGUGGUGGCUGGGCUUGCUAUCAUUUAUGGCUGGGAUCCAAGAAGCAGCAUCCCAAGUAUAAGCAUUUCAAGAAGAGGAAAGUAGAAGCUAAGUCCUUUUGGGGCCUUAGCUUGGAAAUCCCAGAACAUUAUUUUCACCACAUUGUAUUGGUCAAAGUAAUCUACAGGGUCAGCCUAGAUUAAAGAAAAAAAAAAAAAACCCCUUUUUGAUGGGAAGGGGUCAUGCAUACACGAGCAAGAAAGAAAUUGAUGGCAGAAAUCUUUGGUAGUUACAAUGUACCCCCUGGUCAUAGUAAUUUGUGUUCCUGAUGGAAAAUUAUUUCACUACCUCCUAGGAAACCUUAAAGUCUCAUCUCAAUAUGACAUCAAGUUCAAGCUCAAGACCCAGAAUCUCAUGAUCUAAACCAGUUUCAGUAACAUAUGAGGCACCUUUACUACAGUUUCCCUCAAUCCGAAGAUGUGUGAAACUAAAGACAAGUUUUCUUUCCCAUAUUCACCCAGCCUACGAUGAUUUCUAUAAAAUUGUCAAGGUCAUCUUCCAAGAGUGAAGGAUGAUGAAAAUAAAGAUUUGUAAGAAGUAUUGCAAAGAAUGGAAUAUCAAGUGGCCAAAGAAAAAUCGUGGAAUUGCCAGAGAGUGGUAAAAAUCCUUCUGAGAGUCCUACCCACUGUAUUAGUUGUUAGAGUUGUGGAACUUAACCGAAGCUUUCUCUGGAUUCCAGAUGUUUUAAGAAUAUUUUCAGCUGCAUGGCUUGACAGCCUUGGGAUUCCCUCACACAUUCACAGUCUUUUUUGGAUCAGUCUGAUGUGAGCAUGAAAACUGGGAGUUGUGGAGCCCACUUAGGAAAUGAUUGCAAUUGUCCAGGAGACAGAUGAUGGUAAUUAAGUUUCCAUCAGCCUGGAACUCAGGACAGAAGAUACAUAUUCUGUAUGUAGAGAAUCACUGGAGGUCAAAUGUCUUUGCCAAUUUGAGUUUUUCCACUUGAACAAGAAAAGACUGUCAAGGGAAAGCCAAUCAAUUUCACAAUGUUUAGCCUUAGAGCCACUCAACAGUCCUGUUUGGGCCAGUCUCCUGGAAUAUGAGAAAAGAUGAAGAAUGGGAGUGUUAUGGAGGGCAUACGCCCCUCUGAUCAUCACCACAAAGAGUGGAGCCCUUCAUGGUCCCAGCUGAAAGCCUGGAGAGGCUGCGCGCGGUGGCUCACGCCUGUAAUCCCAACGCUUUGAGAGGCCAAGGCAGGUGGAUCACUUGAGCGCAGGAAUUCAAGACCAGCCUGGGCAACAUGGCAAAACCCCAUCUCUACAAAAAGUACAAAAAUUAACCGGG
Molecule: long non-coding RNA, 2628 nt
Filed under: Homo sapiens (human)
Lineage: Eukaryota; Metazoa; Chordata; Mammalia; Primates; Hominidae
Description: PDC antisense RNA 1
Source: RNAcentral